Molecule: ribosomal RNA, 926 nt
Filed under: uncultured bacterium
Lineage: Bacteria
Description: bacterial SSU rRNA
Rfam family: Bacterial small subunit ribosomal RNA
Source: RNAcentral
AGAGUUUGAUCCUGGCUCAGGAUGAACGCUAGCGGCAGGCUUAACACAUGCAAGUCGAGGGGUAACAGGAGUAGCUUGCUACUUGCUGACGACCGGCGCACGGGUGCGUAACGCGUAUAGAAUCUGCCUUACACUGAGGGAUAGCCUUUGGAAACGAAGAUUAAUACCUCAUGGUAUCAUUAGAUGGCAUCAUUUAAUGAUUAAAGGUUACGGUGUAAGAUGACUAUGCGUCCUAUUAGCUUGUUGGUAAGGUAACGGCUUACCAAGGCAACGAUAGGUAGGGGCCCUGAGAGGGGGAUCCCCCACACUGGUACUGAGACACGGACCAGACUCCUACGGGAGGCAGCAGUGAGGAAUAUUGGACAAUGGAGGCAACUCUGAUCCAGCCAUGCCGCGUGAAGGAUGACUGCCCUAUGGGUUGUAAACUUCUUUUAUAUAGGAAGAAACAGUUUCUCGUGAGAAACCUUGACGGUACUAUAUGAAUAAGCACCGGCUAACUCCGUGCCAGCAGCCGCGGUAAUACGGAGGGUGCAAGCGUUAUCCGGAAUCAUUGGGUUUAAAGGGUCCGUAGGCGGAUAGAUAAGUCAGAGGUGAAAUCCUGCAGCUCAACUGUAGAAUUGCCUUUGAAACUGUUUAUCUUGAGUUAUUGUGAAGUGGUUAGAAUAUGUAGUGUAGCGGUGAAAUGCUUAGAGAUUACAUGGAAUACCGAUUGCGAAGGCAGAUCACUAACAAUAUACUGACGCUGAUGGACGAAAGCGUGGGGAGCGAACAGGAUUAGAUACCCUGGUAGUCCACGCCGUAAACGAUGGAUACUAGCUGUUCGGAAUUUAUUCUGAGUGGCUAAGCGAAAGUGAUAAGUAUCCCACCUGGGGAGUACGUUCGCAAGAAUGAAACUCAAAGGAAUUGACGGGGGCCCGCACAAGCGG